This 486-nucleotide long non-coding RNA is filed under the name Citrus x clementina. RNAcentral describes it as "Citrus clementina (C. clementina) long non-coding RNA (CCLE_LNC004106)". Lineage: Eukaryota; Viridiplantae; Streptophyta; Magnoliopsida; Sapindales; Rutaceae. The record is from RNAcentral.
AAGAUGAUUAAUUUUAAUAUAUGGUAAAUAUUUUAUAACUUAAAUCAAGAAUAUUUUAGAAAAUAAAAUUUAAAAUGAGUGUUAUAAGAAUUUUAGAGUGGGUUAAAAGCUCAACCCCUUGACAAAGUGCUUCGGGCCACAAACGCCUUUUAGACCCAAUGGAAACAUAUCAGCUCAGUCCAAAAAGGCCUAAAUCCACAUAACCUGCUCUGAAACUUCAAUUGUAGGAUGUCUGUUGGUAACACUUUUUCUUCUUCUCCAAACUUUACUGAUGGCUCUUUUAUUGAGCAUUCUCACAAAAUUGAUUCAACGACAGUGGCUGGCCCCCAGCCCCGCCGAGAAAAAUGAAGGCCAUAUUUGGUUUAAAGAAAGGGAAAAAGAGAAAAAGAGUGGAAUGGAAGGGAAGAGAGAAAAAAUGAGUGGAGAAGAAUAAUGAAAUUAAAUUUCAUUAUUUGGUUUAACAUAAAGUUUGAUAGGGAAAUGAAU